GCAAUUAGGGGCAAAUACAUAAAAAGUUACUAAAUGACAGAAUUUUGAAAUACAUGGUUGCACAAAUAAGGUAAGAAAAUCAAUCAGUAGCCAGUAAAUGAAGGGUCAGAGAUUUUGUAAUUACUGGUCCAUGAACGAACCAAGUCAGAAAAAUUGAGAAAGGCUUUAACUCAAGUCAAGUCACAAAGAAAAUCAGCAAACAAAGAAAGAAAAUCAAUCAUUCCUAUUCAGAAGGAAGUCUGAACUAAUCAC
RNAcentral lists this long non-coding RNA (252 nucleotides) under Nicotiana benthamiana. Its description in RNAcentral is "long non-coding RNA (NBEN_LNC008313)". The record is from RNAcentral. Lineage: Eukaryota; Viridiplantae; Streptophyta; Magnoliopsida; Solanales; Solanaceae.